This 238-nucleotide long non-coding RNA is filed under the name Phoenix dactylifera (date palm). Its description in RNAcentral is "long non-coding RNA (PDAC_LNC004613)". The record is from RNAcentral. Lineage: Eukaryota; Viridiplantae; Streptophyta; Magnoliopsida; Arecales; Arecaceae.
AUCAGAACUGCAACAGUCCGCGGAUCAAGCUUUCCAACCAUCUGCCUCUUCCCAACGCUCGAAUCAAAUCUUCUACGCGUCGCCCGCUGCCGUGGAACAGAAGCCGUUCCUCCAUCCUCAUCUUUUCACUCGGGAAGCUUAUCCUUCGGAUGCUAACAGAGGAUAGGGAAGCUAUAAAAGGAAGGGAGUUCUCUUCUCUAGGAUUCAUUCUUCUCUUUUGUUCCAUUUUUCUUCCCCC